CUACGGGGGGCACCAGUGGGGAAUAUUGGACAAUGGGGGAAACCCUGAUCCAGCAAUGCCGCGUGUGUGAAGAAGGCCUGCGGGUUGUAAAGCACUUUCGGUUGGGAGGACUGCUUCUAGCACUAAUAUUGUUGGAAGUUGACGUUACCUUCAGAAGAAGCACCGGCUAACUCCGUGCCAGCAGCCGCGGUAAUACGGGGUGCAAGCGUUAAUCGGAAUUACUGGGCGUAAAGCGCGCGUAGGCGGCUAGAUCAGUCGGGUGUGAAAGCCCCGGGCUUAACCUGGGAACUGCAUCCGAUACUGUCUAGCUUGAGUACAGGAGAGGAGAGUGGAAUUCCACAUGUAGCGGUGAAAUGCGUAGAUAUGUGGAGGAACACCAAUGGCGAAGGCAGCUCUCUGGCCUGAUACUGACGCUGAGGUGCGAAAGCGUGGGGAGCAAACAGGAUUAGAUACCCCUGUAGUC
RNAcentral lists this ribosomal RNA (463 nucleotides) under uncultured bacterium. RNAcentral's name for it is "partial 16S ribosomal RNA". It matches the Rfam family "Bacterial small subunit ribosomal RNA", at positions 339 to 795 of the family's 1533-position model. The record is from RNAcentral.